AGCAGCCGCGGUAAUUCCAGCUCCAAUAGCGUAUAUUAAAGUUGUUGCAGUUAAAAAGCUCGUAGUUGAACUUCAGGCCUGUCCAGAUGGUCCGCCUUAAUUGGUGUGUACUGUCCUUGGGUGGGUCCUACCUUCUGGCGAAGCGGCAUGGCCUUUAGUUGGUUGUGUUGGGGAACCAGGACUUUUACUGUGAAAAAAUUAGAGUGUUCAAAGCAGGCAUAAUAUGCUCGAAUACAUUAGCAUGGAAUAAUGGAAUAGGACGAUGGUUCUAUUUUGUGGUUCUAGGACCGUUGUAAUGAUUAAUAGGGAUAGUUGGGGGCAUUAGUAUUCAAUUAUCAGAGGUGAAAUUCUUGGAUUUAUUGAAGACUAACUACUGCGAAAGCAUUUGCCAAGGAUGUUUUCAUUAAUCAAGAACGAAAGUUAGGGAUCGAAGACGAUCAGAUACCGUCGUAGUCUUAACCAUAAACUAUGCCGACUAGGAAUCGGGCGAUUGUUGACAAAAUGACUCGCUUCGGA
This 516-nucleotide unclassified non-coding RNA is filed under the name uncultured Paraglomus. RNAcentral's name for it is "bacterial SSU rRNA". It matches the Rfam family "Eukaryotic small subunit ribosomal RNA", at positions 569 to 1085 of the family's 1831-position model. The record is from RNAcentral. Lineage: Eukaryota; Fungi; Glomeromycota; Glomeromycetes; Paraglomerales; Paraglomeraceae.